CGUGGCCAAGGUCCUGCUACAGAGCUUGAAGUAAAAAUUACACACACAUACAAAUUGGCACUGGAGUCACUGCUGGGGAAAUUUUGAAAGGAAGGUGUGUCGGCUCGGCUGUACCCUGCUCUUGAGAUUGACUACUCCCCAAGGCUUCAGCAAAGGAGGGCAGGUCAAAGCCAGACCAGGCCUCUGCCCAUAUGGUGGGGAAGAUGCGUUUGUAAACCACUGACUACUGGCCUUCUAUGAACAAAGAUGUGGACCACAUGAGAAACACCUUGACAGCCUAACACAAAAAUGAGGUACACCUCAGGGAUGGAUAAGAGCGUGUUCUCACUGUGUUCACAUGAGCAUGGUUUGCAUAAAUCUGCAAUACAAAUUAAAGUAUUUUUAACUUCUCAGAGCUGAGGAGGUUCUACAUGGAGAGAAAGAAAUAAUAUCUCACUUAACUCUGUGACACCUCACAAGAUUGGGAUUAUUUUCUAUAAUUUUUAUAGAUUAGGAAACUGAGACUUGAAAGUUAGAUAACUUGUCAAAAGUCACAAUAACAGAGCCAGGAUUUGAACUCAGCUUGCUUAAUAUCAUAUCACAUUUUUUAUCUGGGACAAUUGAGAGUAAUUUUUCCUCAUAAAAGUUGAGAUCCACUUUUCUCCUACAAGCCUAACCAGUGACAAAAAAAUGACAACUUCAGAAGUUUUCAGAAAUCUUUCCCUUAAUGAUGAAGCAAUUCAAAUUUGAGAAUUUCUAUUGACUAAAAACCUUACAAAGU
RNAcentral lists this long non-coding RNA (760 nucleotides) under Dasypus novemcinctus (nine-banded armadillo). Its description in RNAcentral is "lncRNA (ENSDNOG00000051568.1)". Lineage: Eukaryota; Metazoa; Chordata; Mammalia; Cingulata; Dasypodidae. The record is from RNAcentral.